CAAUGUAGACCCUGCUGUCUGUUAAACAUGCAGUCGAACGAACUCUUCGGAGUGAGUGGCGGACGGGUGAGUAACGCGUGAGAAUCUGCCUGUGGGUCGGGGACAACCACUGGAAACGGUGGCUAAUACCGGAUGAGCCGAAAGGUAAAAAAUUUAUUGCCCACAGAUGAGCUCGCGUCUGAUUAGCUAGUUGGUAAGGUAAAAGCGUACCAAGGCGACGAUCAGUAGCUGGUCUGAGAGGAUGAGCAGCCACACUGAGACUGAGACACGGCCCAGACUCCUACGGGAGGCAGCAGUGGGGAAUUUUCCGCAAUGGGCGAAAGCCUGACGGAGCAAGACCGCGUGGGGGAGGAAGGUUUUUGGAUCGUAAACCCCUUUUGUCAAGGAAGAAGUUCUGACGGUACUUGACGAAUAAGCCUCGGCUAACUCCGUGCCAGCAGCCGCGGUAAUACGGAGGAGGCAAGCGUUAUCCGGAAUGAUUGGGCGUAAAGCGUCUGUAGGUGGCCAGCUAAGUCUGCUGUUAAAGAUCACAGCUCAACUGUGGGAAGGCAGUGGAAACUGGCAAGCUAGAGGCUGGUAGGGGUAAAGGGAAUUCCCGGUGUAGCGGUGAAAUGCGUAGAUAUCGGGAAGAACACCGGUGGCGAAAGCGCUUUACUGGGCCAGACCUGACACUGAAGGACGAAAGCUAGGGGAGCGAAAGGGAUUAGAUACCCCUGUAGUCCUAGCUGUAAACGAUGGAGACUAGGUGUAGCACGUAUCGACCCGUGCUGUAUCGUAGCCAACGCGUUAAGUCUCCCCGCCUGGGGAGUACGCACGCAAGUUGUGAAACUUAAAGGGAAUUGACGG
RNAcentral lists this ribosomal RNA (846 nucleotides) under uncultured bacterium. RNAcentral's name for it is "bacterial SSU rRNA". It matches the Rfam family "Bacterial small subunit ribosomal RNA", at positions 25 to 916 of the family's 1533-position model. The record is from RNAcentral.